Molecule: long non-coding RNA, 2797 nt
Organism: Lolium perenne
Lineage: Eukaryota; Viridiplantae; Streptophyta; Magnoliopsida; Poales; Poaceae
Source: RefSeq, a predicted model, not a curated record
UGCUGAUUUUUUUAACCACAUGCAGGGCAUCAUCAACCACACACGGAAAUAACUAAGGACUGCACGGGUUCUUUUGUGGUACCCUCAAAUGAAUUACAGUCAUUAAUUUCUGUCCAUCCAAUGGCUCAAAAAGAUUCAUACCACAGUCUAAAACUAGAGAGGUAUGUUACAUACCUCAGGAAUUUUUCGCACCACAGAAAGAAAAACGUAGACGGACCUGGCCCAAUAAACGAGCCCAGCCCAAUAGACUGGUCCAGCAGCCUCAGAUCUUGUGGUCGCAGGUCGCAGCGUGUAAGGCUCAUUCUCUGCGGAGGUCCUGCCUCCGCCGCCGCCGCUGUCUCUCCAUCCACAACUCCGGCGCCACCGUCCCCUUGCCCCAAAUCUUCCGCAACACCAGAAGCUCAUCCUCGACACGCAUCCGCCCCUCGCAUUCCCGACUACGUCGCGGACGUCUCCUCGCGUCACCACACCGGCAUGUCGUCGCCCUUGUCGGUCUUCUCCACUCGCGCGUCAGCGGCGCUGACCCUGCUUCUCGGCGGCGUCCACUCACCCCCAUCUGCCGUCUUCCCAAUACUAUCUCGGCGGCGGCAGCCUUAGCCCUUGGCCUACGCGUGGAUCACUCAUCACUGGAUCCAAAAUCGGGGGCGCCGUCCUCGUCGCUCGCCAAGGUGGCCAAGCACACCACGCGGUUCCGGGAGCGCUGCCUGGCUGUCGUCUCGGCAGUGCUGCAGGAGGUGGUAGGAGGCCGACGAACUCCUUUCAUUCGAGGUCAAAUGGAAGGAGUCGAUGGUAAGCGUUGCCGGCGCUUGUUUCGGUGGUCGCAGGCGCGUCUCCUUCUCCUCGUCUCUGUCUUCGGUCCUUCCGUGUUCUCCUCUGCAUGCUGCUCCAUAUAAGAGCAUUUGUGGUACCAGUUUUCCAUUAGCACCCAAAUCAUACACAUGAAGCAGCUUGUCAGCGUGGAUCCAAAUGGCAUAAUUGCACUAGUUCUAGAGUUUCAGGUCUCCCAAAGUUUCCUAUAGGUUGUAUCUGUUGGGUUACUUGACAUUUUGAGAUCAAGGAUGAGAUAUGAUUAGGCUGCAAGUUAGACUUACACUUUGCCCCCAAAACAAUUGCUUAGGUUUUUGAGGAAUGAGAUCAGAUUGCAUAUUGUGCAAGUAUGUGUAUGCAAUUGUGGGUGUGCGUGUGUGACUGUAUGUGCAGGGCUGAUCACUUCUGCUGCAUUUAGUGUAACAUAUCCACUCAAACCUCAGUCCUAAAAAUUGAAGUACCUAGUGUAAGAGUCACCCAAGCUUGUCUACUUUAUAUGAGCAUUGCUAGGAGUUUUAUUUAUGUUUAUAUUUUGUUAGAACUAUUAACAUUAGCUGAGUUAAGGUGCAAGAUCUUGUCAUUUAAACUCUGUUGGCAUUACGUUGCUAGCAUGUAUAAGAUGGUACUUUCUUUAUUUUUUUAUGUACUAUUUUAUAAAAUAUUUAUCAAUUUGUUUAAAAAGUGGAAUAAAACAUGUAAGUGUUGAUUUGCGGUAAAACAGUUGUUUUGCUUGAAUGUUUGUGUCUGUAAUCACAUUUCUCUUCCUUAUUCUGCGGUGGAGAUGAAUCGUAAAUUUUUUGUUCUGGAUUUUCAAUUGGUUCUGUGUGACAGUCCGAUCAAAUUAAGAAGUCACAUAACAUAAUUUUAUAGUAUUACCAGUUGGUUCUGUGGAUUGAACUAAGUAUAAUGGUUAUAAUGAUAUGAAUUUUGUGCCACUUCACAUGUUGUCUUGAAGCUUAUGUGAGUGGUGUCUUAGAUCAUAAACAAGUUUCUUGCUCCUUAGUGCUACCUAGUGUAGUUCUGUCUGUUACAUGUUCCUUAUCUCUAUCUUAAUUGUAGUUUGAAAUUUGACUUUCCUUGUAGUUUAAAUAUUUGUGUACUUUACAUAUACUACCAGUCAUUGUCAAUUUCUCCCAGGUAUAUCUCCAACAUUUCUAUUUAGUCAUCUCUGACUACUAUAGGCUUACGGUUACUUAGGAUUGCUUCUUCAGUUCAACUAUGGUUGUUAUCAAGUGCACUAUAACAGUUGUGCUACUAAUAAUACUCCUUUAACUCCUUUGAUAGGAUAAAUCUUGGCGUGUCCGCUAUAUGGUUGCCAAUUAAUUAUAUCAGCUUUGCAAGGCUGUUGGCCCAGAGCCUACAAGAGCGGACCUGGUGCCUGCAUAUGUUUGCCUGCUUCGUGAUAAUGAGGGUGAAGUGUGGAAAGUCACGAAGUUCUGUAGGAUAUUAAGUCCAGAACUUGCAAUUGCGCACAUUCUUCCAUGUGUUAAGUUGGGAGGACAGGGCAGUUACUGAACAUCAUUUGUAUUCUGCUGCUGUUAUUGUCUAUAGGCUAACUUGUGCCAAUUAUAUUUGCAGGACUUAUCAUCGGAUUUGUCUCAGCAUUUCCUUGGUUAAGCUAUAAGACUUGGAAACCAACGUCAUUGUUCUUUUUCACGGAGGUGGGUUUGUUGCUUGGUGCUCAUACAAGACCAUGCCACUUGUUGAAGAUAGUAUGUUCAAAGUCAAUGCAAUGGUGCUGAUGUACUGGAAGAUUGGAGUUUCACACUAAGCUGAGCAUCGAGGGCCUCCCAGAGGAGCCGCAUGCCGUAAACCUUGCUGCCGACGACUCACCUCUAGUUGUGACGGUCACUGCGUCCAAGCUUUAUUUAUUAUUAUGGUGGCACAUUAACUUAUUUAGCAUGAAACAAUUAUUAAUUUAUCAUCACAGAUGUACUCAAAGUUGGAGAUCUUGAUUCAAUUACUAUUUCUGUGUACAUGGCAUGACAUA